Long non-coding RNA from Prinia subflava (tawny-flanked prinia), 456 nucleotides. RefSeq lists it as uncharacterized. The transcript has 5 exons. Lineage: Eukaryota; Metazoa; Chordata; Aves; Passeriformes; Cisticolidae. The record is from RefSeq and is a predicted model, not a curated record.
AGCAAAAAUUGUUGCUGUGACUCUUGCUACACAUUAGCUGGGAGAAAAAUAAAAGAGUGAGUGAACCUUGAAAAAAGGAAACAGGAGACAGUGGACAUGAGCAUAGCUAAAAGUGUUGGAAUGGCGGCUGUAAGCUUUCUGGCUGCAAGUGCUGUAGAAAUGGCAUUCAACGCAUUAAAAAACAGAAAGAAGGAGCAGACCAGAAAAGCUGUGGAAUGUAAGAUAGAUGAAGCCUUCCAGAAGCUUGAGGAAAAAAUAAAGGCCUUGCAGGAAUCUUUCACAAAAUUGCAGGAGUCCAGACAGUGUGAGCUGCAUGACCUCAGAGCAAACCUGGAGAAACAAGGAAAAGAGGAGAACUUUGUAAGGGUCCUGUUAUCCUGUAUGGAGAACCAUAUCCACUUACUCUCCCAAAACAUUCAAGCUCUGCAAAAUGAUGUGCAGGAAUGGCCAGAGACC